This 2931-nucleotide ribosomal RNA is filed under the name Yersinia pseudotuberculosis. RNAcentral describes it as "bacterial LSU rRNA". It matches the Rfam family "Bacterial large subunit ribosomal RNA". Lineage: Bacteria; Pseudomonadati; Pseudomonadota; Gammaproteobacteria; Enterobacterales; Yersiniaceae. The record is from RNAcentral.
GGGUUGUGAGGUUAAGCGACUAAGCGUACACGGUGGAUGCCUAGGCAGUCAGAGGCGAUGAAGGGCGUGCUAAUCUGCGAAAAGCGUCGGUAAGCUGAUAUGAAGCGUUAUAACCGACGAUACCCGAAUGGGGAAACCCAGUGCAAUACGUUGCACUAUCGUUAGAUGAAUACAUAGUCUAACGAGGCGAACCGGGGGAACUGAAACAUCUAAGUACCCCGAGGAAAAGAAAUCAACCGAGAUUCCCCAGUAGCGGCGAGCGAACGGGGAGGAGCCCAGAGUCUGAAUCAGUUUGUGUGUUAGUGGAAGCGUCUGGAAAGUCGCACGGUACAGGGUGAUAGUCCCGUACACCAAAAUGCACAGGCUGUGAACUCGAUGAGUAGGGCGGGACACGUGACAUCCUGUCUGAAUAUGGGGGACCAUCCUCCAAGGCUAAAUACUCCUGACUGACCGAUAGUGAACCAGUACCGUGAGGGAAAGGCGAAAAGAACCCCGGCGAGGGGAGUGAAAUAGAACCUGAAACCGUGUACGUACAAGCAGUGGGAGCACCUUCGUGGUGUGACUGCGUACCUUUUGUAUAAUGGGUCAGCGACUUAUAUUUUGUAGCAAGGUUAACCGAAUAGGGGAGCCGUAGGGAAACCGAGUCUUAACUGGGCGUCUAGUUGCAAGGUAUAGACCCGAAACCCGGUGAUCUAGCCAUGGGCAGGUUGAAGGUUGGGUAACACUAACUGGAGGACCGAACCGACUAAUGUUGAAAAAUUAGCGGAUGACUUGUGGCUGGGGGUGAAAGGCCAAUCAAACCGGGAGAUAGCUGGUUCUCCCCGAAAGCUAUUUAGGUAGCGCCUCGUGAACUCAUCUUCGGGGUAGAGCACUGUUUCGGCUAGGGGGCCAUCCCGGCUUACCAAACCGAUGCAAACUCCGAAUACCGAAGAAUGUUAUCACGGGAGACACACGGCGGGUGCUAACGUCCGUCGUGAAGAGGGAAACAACCCAGACCGCCAGCUAAGGUCCCAAAGUCAUGGUUAAGUGGGAAACGAUGUGGGAAGGCACAGACAGCCAGGAUGUUGGCUUAGAAGCAGCCAUCAUUUAAAGAAAGCGUAAUAGCUCACUGGUCGAGUCGGCCUGCGCGGAAGAUGUAACGGGGCUAAACCAUGCACCGAAGCUGCGGCAGCGACGUUUAGGCGUUGUUGGGUAGGGGAGCGUUCUGUAAGCCGUUGAAGGUGACCUGUGAGGGUUGCUGGAGGUAUCAGAAGUGCGAAUGCUGACAUAAGUAACGAUAAUGCGGGUGAAAAACCCGCACGCCGGAAGACCAAGGGUUCCUGUCCAACGUUAAUCGGGGCAGGGUGAGUCGACCCCUAAGGCGAGGCUGAAAAGCGUAGUCGAUGGGAAACAGGUUAAUAUUCCUGUACUUGGUGUUACUGCGAAGGGGGGACGGAGAAGGCUAGGCUGGCCGGGCGACGGUUGUCCCGGUUUAAGCGUGUAGGGGGAGUGACCAGGUAAAUCCGGUUGCUUAUCAACCCUGAGGCGUGAUGACGAUGCACUACGGUGCAGAAGCAGUUGAUGCCAUGCUUCCAGGAAAAGCCUCUAAGCAUCAGGUAACAUUAAAUCGUACCCCAAACCGACACAGGUGGUCAGGUAGAGAAUACUCAGGCGCUUGAGAGAACUCGGGUGAAGGAACUAGGCAAAAUGGUGCCGUAACUUCGGGAGAAGGCACGCUGGCGUUAGGUGAAAGGACUAGCUCCUGGAGCUGAAGCCAGUCGCAGAUACCAGCUGGCUGCAACUGUUUAAUAAAAACACAGCACUGUGCAAACACGAAAGUGGACGUAUACGGUGUGACGCCUGCCCGGUGCUGGAAGGUUAAUUGAUGGGGUCAGCCGCAAGGCGAAGCUCUUGAUCGAAGCCCCAGUAAACGGCGGCCGUAACUAUAACGGUCCUAAGGUAGCGAAAUUCCUUGUCGGGUAAGUUCCGACCUGCACGAAUGGCGUAAUGAUGGCCAGGCUGUCUCCACCCGAGACUCAGUGAAAUUGAACUCGCUGUGAAGAUGCAGUGUACCCGCGGCAAGACGGAAAGACCCCGUGAACCUUUACUAUAGCUUGACACUGAACAUUGAGCCUUGAUGUGUAGGAUAGGUGGGAGGCAUUGAAGUGUGGACGCCAGUCUGCAUGGAGCCAACCUUGAAAUACCACCCUUUAAUGUUUGAUGUUCUAACUCGGCCCCAUGAUCUGGGGUGAGGACAGUGUCUGGUGGGUAGUUUGACUGGGGCGGUCUCCUCCCAAAGAGUAACGGAGGAGCACGAAGGUUAGCUAAUCACGGUCGGACAUCGUGAGGUUAGUGCAAAGGCAUAAGCUAGCUUGACUGCGAGAGUGACGGCUCGAGCAGGUACGAAAGUAGGUCUUAGUGAUCCGGUGGUUCUGAAUGGAAGGGCCAUCGCUCAACGGAUAAAAGGUACUCCGGGGAUAACAGGCUGAUACCGCCCAAGAGUUCAUAUCGACGGCGGUGUUUGGCACCUCGAUGUCGGCUCAUCACAUCCUGGGGCUGAAGUAGGUCCCAAGGGUAUGGCUGUUCGCCAUUUAAAGUGGUACGCGAGCUGGGUUUAGAACGUCGUGAGACAGUUCGGUCCCUAUCUGCCGUGGGCGUUGGAAGAUUGAGAGGGGCUGCUCCUAGUACGAGAGGACCGGAGUGGACGAAUCACUGGUGUUCGGGUUGUCAUGCCAAUGGCAUUGCCCGGUAGCUAAAUUCGGAAGAGAUAACCGCUGAAAGCAUCUAAGCGGGAAACUUGCCUCGAGAUGAGUCUUCCCUGGGGCUUAAAGCCCCCUGAAGGAACGUUAAAGACUAUGACGUUGAUAGGCUGGGUGUGUAAGUGCAGCGAUGUAUUGAGCUAACCAGUACUAAUGAUCCGUGAGGCUUAACCUUACAACACCGAAGGUGUUU